This 562-nucleotide long non-coding RNA is filed under the name Homo sapiens (human). RNAcentral's name for it is "magnesium dependent phosphatase 1 (ENSG00000285200.2)". Lineage: Eukaryota; Metazoa; Chordata; Mammalia; Primates; Hominidae. The record is from RNAcentral.
UUUCCACAUCCCUAACAGCAGCUCCCGAAUCCCUGCAUCUCCCGCCCCAGGCUGAACCUUCCCUCUCCUUCCUCUCGCAGAUUACACUCUCUGGCCUUUCUGGGUCGACACGCACGUAGACCCUCCGUUCCAUAAGAGCAGUGAUGGAACUGUACGAGAUAGGCGGGGCCAAGACGUCCGACUGUACCCAGAGGUGCCUGAGGUCCUAAAACGAUUGCAGAGCCUUGGGGUGCCCGGUGCGGCUGCUUCAAGGACAAGUGAGAUAGAAGGGGCCAACCAGCUACUGGAGCUCUUUGACCUCUUCAGGUACUUUGUUCAUCGGGAAAUCUAUCCAGGCAGCAAGAUCACACACUUUGAGAGGUGUUACCUGCAUUCACAUCCAGAAUGGAAUGAAUCUUCAAACUCUAAGUCAAGGGUUAGAGACAUUUGCGAAGGCCCAAACUGGGCCUUUGAGGUCCAGCCUUGAGGAGAGCCCAUUUGAGGCCUAAACUGAAAGGAAAUCAAGAAGGCAUUUUCAGGUGCAUUUGUAAUUUAUUAAAGUUCAUCUGUGUGUGACAGAAGA